Molecule: ribosomal RNA, 1341 nt
Filed under: uncultured bacterium
Lineage: Bacteria
Description: bacterial SSU rRNA
Rfam family: Bacterial small subunit ribosomal RNA
Source: RNAcentral
GACGAACGCUGGCGGCAUGCCUAAUACAUGCAAGUCGAGCGAACAGAUGAAGUGCUUGCACUUCUGACGUUAGCGGCGAACGGGCGAGUAACACGUAAGGAAUCUACCUAUAAGUGGGGGAUAACAUUCGGAAACGGGUGCUAAUACCGCAUAAUAUCUUCUUCCGCAUGGAAGAAGAUUGAAAGACGGCUCUGCUGUCACUUAUAGAUGACCUUGCGGUGCAUUAGCUAGUUGGUGAGAUAACAGCCCACCAAGGCAACGAUCAGUAGCCGGCUUGAGAGAGUGUACGGCCACAUUGGGACUGAGACACGGCCCAGACUCCUACGGGAGGCAGCAGUGGGGAAUUUUGCACAAUGGGGGCAACCCUGAUGCAGCGACGCCGCGUGAUUUAGAAGGCCUUCGGGUUGUAAAAAUCUUUUGUAUAGGAAGAAAAUGACAGUACUAUACGAAUAAAGUCCCGCUAAUUACGUGCCAGCAGCCGCGGUAAUACGUAAAGACCGAGCGUUGUCCGGAAUCAUUGGGCGUAAAGGGUACGUAGGCGGUUAGAAAGUUAGAAGUGAAAGGCUAUAGCUCAGCUAUAGUAAGCUUUUAAAACUGUUUAACUUGAGAGAUGGAAGGGAAAGUGGAAUUCCUAGUGUAGCGGUGAAAUGCGCAGAUAUUAGGAGGAAUACCGGUGGCGAAGGCGACUUUCUGGCCAUUAUCUGACGCUGAGGUACGAAAGCGUGGGUAGCAAACAGGAUUAGAUACCCUGGUAGUCCACGCCGUAAACGAUGAGUGUUAGGUGUCUGGAGUAAAUCUGGGUGCCGCAGCUAACGCAAUAAACACUCCGCCUGGGGAGUACGCACGCAAGUGUGAAACUCAAAGGAAUUGACGGGGACCCGCACAAGCAGCGGAGCAUGUGGUUUAAUUCGAAGCAACGCGAAGAACCUUACCAAGUCUUGACAUAUUACGGCGGAAUCUAGAGAUAGAAUCUUACUUCUUCGGAAGGCUGUAAAACAGGUGGUGCAUGGUUGUCGUCAGCUCGUGUCGUGAGAUGUUGGGUUAAGUCCCGCAACGAGCGCAACCCUUAAGCUUAGUUGCCAUCAUUAAGUUGGGCACUCUAAGUUGACUGCCGGUGACAAACCGGAGGAAGGUGGGGAUGACGUCAAAUCAUCAUGCCCCUUAUGAUUUGGGCUACACACGUGCUACAAUGGCAGGUACAGAGGGCAGCGAGAUUGUGAAAUUAAGCGAACCUCAAAAAGCCUGUCCCAGUUCGGAUUGCACUCUGCAACUCGAGUGCAUGAAGUUGGAGUUGCUAGUAAUCGCAGAUCAGAAUGCUGCGGUGAAUGCGUUCCCGGGUCU